This 1217-nucleotide ribosomal RNA is filed under the name uncultured Rhizaria. RNAcentral describes it as "SSU rRNA". It matches the Rfam family "Eukaryotic small subunit ribosomal RNA", at positions 577 to 1804 of the family's 1831-position model. The record is from RNAcentral.
CGGUAAUUCCAGCUCCAAUAGCGUAUACUAAAGUUGUUGCAGUUAAAAAGCUCGUAGUUGGAUUUCUGCGGGGACGGAGCGGCCGGUCGCAACUUGCGACUCGAGCUAGCGCUUUCCCCGCAUCCUGCCGCGAACCGUGCUACCAUUAGCUUGGUGGCGCUGGGGAUCGGCUCGAUUACUUUGAGAAAAAUAGAGUGUUCAAAGCAGACCACACGCCUUGAAUAAGUUAGCAUGGAAUAAUGACUAAGGACUUCGGUUCUAUUUUGUUGGUGUUCGGGACUGAAGUAAUGAUUGAUAGGGACAGUUGGGGCGGUCUGUAUUCCAAAGCGAGAGGUGAAAUUCUUAGACCUUCGGAAGACAAACAGCUGCGAAAGCGUUCCGCAAGGAUGUUCCCUUUGAUCAAGAACGAAAGUUGGGGGAUCGAAGACGAUCAGAUACCGUCGUAGUCUCAACUAUAAACUAUACCAGCUAGGGAUCGGUCAACGUUUAAUCAUUCGACUUGAUCGGCACCUUAUGAGAAAUCAAAGCAUCUGGGUUCCGGGGGGAGUAUGGUCGCAAGGCUGAAACUUAAAGGAAUUGACGGAAGGGCACCACCAGCCGUGGAGCCUGUGGCUUAAUUUGACUCAACACGGGAAAACUUACCAGGUCCAGACAUAGUAAGGAUUGACAGAUUGAUAGCUCUUUCUUGAUUCUGUGGGUGGUGGUGCAUGGCCGUUCUUAGUUGGUGGAGUGAUUUGUCUGGUUAAUUCCGUUAACGAACGAGACCCCAGCCUGCUAAAUAGCGCGGCUGAGCUUUGCUCGGUGCGAGCUUCUUAGAGGGACUAUGAUGCGCGAUAGCACAUGGAAGUUUGGGGCAAUAACAGGUCUGUGAUGCCCUUAGAUGUUCUGGGCCGCACACGGGCUACACUGGCGCCUGCAACGAGCAUAUCAGCUGGCCCGAGAGGGUCUUGGCUAAUCUUUUGAACCGGCGCCGUGCUUGGGAUUGACCAUUGCAAUUGUUGGUCAUGCAACGAGGAAUGCCUUGUAAACGCGAGUCAUCAGCUCGCAUUGAAUACGUCCCUGCCCUUUGUACACACCGCCCGUCGCUCCUACCGAUGAAUGUUCCGAUGAAAUUUUCGGAGAGCGCCAGAGAACGGGGCUCCGCCUUGCAGAUCUGGAGGCUCAAAGUCACUUAAAUCUGAACAUUUCGAGGAAGGAGAAGUCGUAACAAGGUAACC